GACGAACGCUGGCGGCGUGCUUAACACAUGCAAGUCGAACGCUGAAGCUCAGCUUUUGUUGGGUGGAUGAGUGGCGAACGGGUGAGUAACACGUGAGUAACCUGCCUCCUUCUUUGGGAUAACGCCCGGAAACGGGUGCUAAUACUGGAUAUUCACUGGUCUUCGCAUGGGGGUUGGUGGAAAGGGUUUUUCUGGUGGGGGAUGGGCUCGCGGCCUAUCAGCUUGUUGGUGGGGUGAUGGCCUACCAAGGCUUUGACGGGUAGCCGGCCUGAGAGGGUGACCGGUCACAUUGGGACGGAGAUACGGCCCAGACUCCGACGGGAGGCAGCAGUGGGGAAUAUUGCACAAUGGGCGCAGGCCUGAUGCAGCGACGCCGCGUGAGGGAUGGAGGCCUUCGGGUUGUGAACCUCUUUCGCUCAUGGUCAAGCCGCAACAAUGGUUGUGGUGAGGGUAGUGGGUAAAGAAGCGCCGGCUAACUACGUG
RNAcentral lists this ribosomal RNA (483 nucleotides) under uncultured bacterium. Its description in RNAcentral is "partial 16S ribosomal RNA". It matches the Rfam family "Bacterial small subunit ribosomal RNA", at positions 28 to 507 of the family's 1533-position model. The record is from RNAcentral.